Molecule: ribosomal RNA, 205 nt
Filed under: uncultured bacterium
Lineage: Bacteria
Description: partial 16S ribosomal RNA
Rfam family: Bacterial small subunit ribosomal RNA
Source: RNAcentral
AUUGAACGCUGGCGGCGUGCUUAACACAUGCAAGUCGAUCGGUAACAGGUGUAGCAAUACAUGCUGACGAGAGGCGGACGGGUGAGUAAUGCUUGGGAAUCUGCCUAUUAGUGGGGGACGAACCCGGGGAAACGUACGGCGUAAUGCCGCAUACGAUCCACGGAUGAAAGACGGGGGACGUUUCGGUCCGUCGCGCUAUGAGAUG